AUACCAUGGUGGGGACACUCUUAGAAAAGGACUUAGAACCUUUCCAUUAGUCUAUAAAAUGACUCUUGAGGUUUUUGUCGGAACUAUAUGAUCUCGCUCUUGAGUUU
This is a small nucleolar RNA of Macadamia integrifolia, 107 nucleotides long. NCBI's taxonomy places the organism in Eukaryota, Viridiplantae, Streptophyta, Magnoliopsida, Proteales, Proteaceae. The record is from RefSeq and is a predicted model, not a curated record.